UCAUUGUAUAAUCAACAUACAUAUUUAUUUAUAUUAUAUGCAUAUUAAAGAUUAUUCCACUCACCCGGAAAAUACUGAACUAAAGGAAUGUCAGACAAAAGACCCGAAAAUCCGAUUAAGGAUCGUUAGGAGAACCUACAAUAAAUAUAUGAAAUAUACUCAAAAACAGAUCAAACAAAAGAUCCCAAAGCAUAAAAUAAACCGGGCUUAAUCUCCCAAGUUUAGGGACUAAAACGACAAUUUUCCAAAACAGGGACCAAAACGUAAUUUUACCAAAUUUUGAGGACCGAAUGUAAAUAUAUAACCAUACUGAAAUUUACCAUAAUUAAUCCUCAAUUCUGUCCAGGAUAUAUCAUUAUGCUCCAAGGACCAUUCUGGAACUUUACCAAAUUUUUAGGGUCAAAUUAUACUUUUUGUCAAAUUGGAGGACCAAACUGAAAAUAUUAAUUAUACUGGAAUUUUGUCCUUAAAUCAUCCUCAGUUCUGUUCAGAACCUCAAUUUAUGCCCCAGGGACCAAUCUGUAAAAUUUCCAAAGUUCGGGGACUAAACUGCAAUUUCCAAAUUGAGGGACCAAACUGAAUUUUCGUCAUCUUCAACCUCAAACCCAGAAUUUCAACAGAUCACCUACUGUUAUUUCCAGAUUUAUACCUCAACUUCAUCAUUCAAUUCAACCAUAACUCAAAAUCAUCAUAUUUCUCUACAAUCUCUCCAAUUCAACUAAAUAAUCAAAUACCCACAUCAAUCAACCCCUUAAUUCAAACUAAUUCAUCAAUAAACUCAAAAUUCAAAACUCUAAAAUUAAUCAAAAACCGAAAUUUAAAGCUAAAGAAAACAUAUUAUACAUAUUCAAGCAUAAUUCUUACCCUUUUACUUGUUUUCUUCAACCUUUUCCUUUUUCCUUUAUUUUCCCCUGUUUUCUCUUCUUCUUCUUCUUCCUCUCUUCUCUCCUGCCGGUUCUCUCUCCAAAUUCAGAUCCUUCUUUUCUUUUUUUUUCUUAUAUAUAUUUAUCAACUAUUGGUCAAUUACCACACUACCCUUCAAUCAUUUAUACCCUCUUUUAAGCCUCCAAGGGCUUUAUUGUAUAUUCUCAUUCCUUUUUAUUACAAAACAUCACAAUAGCUGCCAACCCAGUUUUCCAUGAGCGGACUAGGCACAUUGAGAUGGACUGCCAUUUCAUUAGAGACAAGAUUCAAGACGGUUCAGUGAUCACGAGAUAUGUGAGUUCUACCCAUCAGCUAGCGGAUAUCCUGACCAAGUCUUUGGGAAAGGAAAGUUUCAUCCCUAUGAUUCGCAAGUUGGGAGUUCAGGAUAUCCACUCUCCAACUUGAGGGGGAGUGUUGACAAGAUAAAUGUUGACAUUAUCUUUAUAUAGAAAUAGAUAAUCAGUAUAUAUUAUUUUUCUAUUUUAGUUCCUAUAUUGUAGCUGAUUUUCCUGUAAUGUAGUUCCCAUUCCUAACUCAUAGGAAUGCCUUGGCUGUACAAAUACAUGACCUAACGUCUGUAUUCAUUCAUUCAUUCAAUAUACAUUGUUCUUCCAUCUUUUCACCUUCCCCGCAGCAUUUGCAGCUCCAGCACCAGUUGCCCUGACGGAUGUCGGAUAUAACUAGAUGGAAACGAUACCAGAAUAAAUCAAUUAUUCAGAAGCAAUUCUCCCUGCCCCUCAGAUGUGUGUGCAUAGGUUUCUAACAAAUGCAUUUUGGAGUCAAAAGUCAAAAGAAAAACGAUCACGGAAGUUAAGACUGAGAUGAUGGGAACAUUUUACCCAGUCAACAUCUUGCUACGGAUAAAAUGCCCUGAACAAAGUAUUAUAGGACUUACCUCGUGACCAUAUAUUGUAGCAACUGAGAGGGCUGCUUUGGUACUCAUUCGAGCUCCAAACAAGAAUGACAUCGUUAAUGUUGCAGACUGAUGGUAAACCAGAGGUAAAAGGAAGAUACCAGCCAAGACAAACGUAACAGCUACCGUAAGCUUGCGGCCAAUUCUAUCUACAAUAGUUGCUGACAAAACAAUCCCAGGAAGCUCUACAAUAGUAUAGAUUUAUAAGAAAACAUGUUAUAAUGCAUUGCUUAAUUUGGUAACUGUACAAGAAAGUUAGAGACACGAGAUAUAUAGUAUAUAUCACUUUGCAGAACAAUUCUCAAAAUGUCAAACAUUAAUUGCAUGGAGAUGAAGAGAGUAGGCAUGCAAUACCUGCCAAAUUAGAAAUAAAUACAUUUAUGUAGAGGCUGUCAGGAUUUUCUGAUUUCAAGAGAUUUGAGCCACAUCUGCUUUGCGCACUACUUAGCUCUGAAGUCAGCAAUAUGAUACCAUAAUAUGAGAAUACAUUUCCAAAGAGCAACUCCCAGAGAAGAAGUGUUGUUCGGAUUAGUUUUGAUGAGAAAAGCAUAAGAAAUGAUUGGAAUCCUGAUCUAAAAUCCAAAUCCAUUUUUUCAGUGGUGGAGAGGAGAGGGGUAUAUUCUGAUGUUGCAGACUCUUCAUCCAGUCCAAUUGUACUAUCAGGAACGAGCUCUCCUGGAGGGAGUUGUGAUUGGUUGAGCAGAGCUAUUUUCUCCAGAAUAUUAUAUGCAUCAUUUAUUCUGCCUUUCAUGCAUAGAUACCUUGGAGAUUCUGGUACAUGAGAAUAAAAGAGAAGCAGAGCAAAUGCUGGUAAACAGGAUACCGCGAGAAGCCAUCUCCAACCCAACCUUGCCAUCACCAUCUGCAAGAAUUACAGAAAAUACAAUUAAUUAUGAAGAAAAGAAUUCCCCGGGUGAUAAGACAUGUGAAGCAUAAAUGACUUUAAUAUCUGAACUCGUCCUCUCUUGUGAGUUUUGUGCAAUUUUAGCAUGCCCCAUGCUGCCCAGCUUGUGCAGACACUGCAAUGUAAUAUUAGCCGAGCAAUGUACCAAAAUAUCAGAUAAUGAUGAGGGAAAAUGGCCUUUAACACUUACUACCAUGAGCGUUUAUGAUAAAAUCAAGUUUUUUUCAGCUACUUUUGUUGUUCAGAAUUCUGGAAAUGGUACACACCCAUGCAAGUAAAGCCUCAAAAAUUGACCCAAAUGCCCAGAACCAUGAGAGUAGAAGCAUCCUUUGUCCUCUAUGUGAAGCGGGAACAAACUCUAGAAACCAGGAGCUGAAUACACUUCCACCACCCAGCCCGGAGCCAACCAAACAACGAAGAAUCACCAGAGAUGCAUAAUUUGGGGAGAAAGCACUCAACAAUCCAGCUCCACAAGUCAGAAGAGUUGCUCCUAGGAAACCCUUCCUGGAAAGACCAAAUGGAACUAAAACAACUUGUAAGACGAGGUAAAAUAUUUAACCAUGGGUUUGUAAGAGUCUAGUGCAAAGAUUCAAAUCCAAACGGAUGGUUUGAAAGAAAAACAUCGUAUUUGUACAGUAACAUCUUUAGCAGAAUGGAUCAACACUUGAUGGAAACUUGAUCUUUAGCUUUGAUGAUGUAAUGAGAAGGGUAUUUACAGAAUACUUGCCAGUUUGCCUAUUUGGAAAUCAUUUGCCCUUCAUAAACUUUAAAUUGGAAGCGAGCAUGACAGCCAAAAAUAAUAGGAAAACCACCAAAAUAUUGCAAAACUGUGUAAUUGAAACUUUGAAAGAGCAGAUUUUGUCAACCUAAAACCUUAAAUAGAGAAAGAUCUACCAUAGAAGCACCAGAAAAGUUCAAGUUUUUUCCAAAUUCCUGAAGCUAUACAAUAUACACAAAUAUAUCCAUACAGACAUUAUGAAGGAUUCUUAACUUUACACGUCAAGGAAACAGUGAAGAUUAUUAGCAAGGCACAGCAUAUAAUUAAUGCAAGGAAUAAGGGGGGAAAUGAUGGCUUGCCUCCUUCCAUGAUGAUCUGAAACGAGUCCCCAAAAAAAUGAUCCAAUAAACAUGCCACCAAAAACAGCAGUUGAUAGCAGACUCUCUUGGCUUGAUGAGAGAUCCCACUGGGACUUGACCGCCGGUCCCACAAAAGAGAGAAUCAUAACUUCCAUUGCUUCUGCAAUAAAAGCAAGUCCAGCAUAAACAAGCACGGGACGUUGGAAUUUCCCAAAUCCCACAGAAGCAAGAGCCUCAUCCACAGUGAAUACAAGGUUUUCCCCGUCCAUCUAUGUGGUGGCCGGUCAACAACAUACCAAAGAAAUCAAAAAAUUGUCACGGCCACAGGGUAACAAACAAACGAAAAAUUAUCAUGUUUUAUACAUAUUCAAUUAUUUCAAGAUUGAUUGCAUGAUCAUCAAGAAAUCUCAGCGCUUACCCUGACGGAGGUCUCAGCUGGCUCAUUCAUGGGCGUAGCAGUCAGAGAUCGAUGCUAUAUAUCACUGCUUUUACGUCAAAAAUCAAAUUACUUGUAGUUUCAACUCAAGAAAGAAGAUCAAUAGUGAAGUAUCAAUCAUUGAAAAAAACAAAAGACUGAAUACCUUACAGAAGCUGCCAACUGGAUAUAAGUUUAUGAAGCUUUACUUGUUAAUAACAAUUGCUUGGGUACACAUGGACACGAAUCAAACAACACGAAACACUAAUACUGCUGUGAUGCUUUCUUGGAAGAUGCAUAAAUGGAGCUGAGCUGCGCAUGAGAACAUAUAAUCAAGAAAAUAUGAACUAACCUGAAACUAGGAAAUGAUAGUCUUCUUUGCGCUAACAUAUAUACGGUUGUUACCAUUCCAAUUGUCCAGUACCUGGACAGGACAGGAUGACUCUUUCGGCUGAAAAGAAGGGAAAAUCGAUAAUUUGUGUGGAGUGAACUGCGGUUUAUGUAGCUGGACAGGACAGGAUGACUCUUUCAGUUGAAAAGAAGAGGAUACAAGAACACACACACACAUACAAGUUCUUGUAUCCUCUUCUUUUCAACUGAAAGAGUCAUCCUGUCCUGUCCAGCUACAUAUGCCGGUUGGUAAUAUAGAAGUUAUCGAAAUACAUGGCUAAACAUGGAAAAUGAGAAAAGUGAAGGCAUGGUCGGUGUGGCCAAAGUAAGAGUAUAGGCAAGGGCAGACAAGUGGAUCUCAUCAUCAGCUAGUUGCUCCACGUACCCAUAAACAGAUCGGUAAUAGUUCAUCGAUCCCAUGUUGAGAGUGUUGGCAUUGAAGUUAUUUUUUAAAAUGUUUUUUAUUUAAAAAAAUAUUAAAAUUAUAUUUAAAAAAAAAACUAUUUUUAAUAUUAACCCAUGAAAAUAAUUUGAAAAUAUAAAAAAUAAUAAUAUUAAUUUUAAGCAAAAAUACAAAAUAAAAUAAAUUUAUAUUUUUUUUAAAAAUAAUUUUAAAACACAAAACAAAAAGCAUUUUUUGUUAUGUAUAUACAAGAAAAACCCGUUUCUCUCCUCUCAAAUUCUCUGUAUAAAAAUGCGAAAGCUUCGGUGUCUAGUGAUUGAUUUUGUGGGAUGGAGAGGAAAUUGAGUAUCUGAGAAGAAGUAGAACUAGAAGAUGAGUAACAAUGUGCGGUUUUUAUAAUUUCUUGGUGUAGACAAGUUUUUGAGGAAGACGAAAAGAGUAUAGAAUUCACGAAAAUGGUAAAAAACAAGAACCCUACCCGUACUUCAUUUCUCAUCUGAGUUGAGAGAAAAGAUUACGGUAGCUUAAAUAGAUCUGCAGCGGACCAAAUCAAAAUGGAAGACGAACCUUAAUAGGAAAUUAAAUAAGAAGUAAUAAGACUGACAAAAAAAGCAUAUUCUGAGCUUAAUUUAAAAGCUUCCCAUGCCACGAACUAGUCACAAUGAGCUAAUCCAUCAUUGAACUUGUAGAAUUUCCUCAAUGAUCUAAUCAAAGGUUACGUCCAGUUUUUCAUAUAUAUUAUUUGACACAGCCAGGCCUCUUCUUCUUGAGCUUUGACCUGUACAUUUGAUUCAAAAAUGUAUAUGAUAAGCUUUGUACGUAAUCGAAAUCAAAAUAUCCGUAGCCGACUAUUCAAUCCUUCUGCAUUAGCUACAGUGCCAUACAACCAGUGCCGAUCUCGAUCAUCGAAAAAAAGAACAAGAAAAGGGGAAAAAAACAACUAUGAACAAGGUAUGUUUAGAGCAUAUGAUACAUAUGCAUGUUAUGAACAUUUUGCAAAUAUAACUAUGAACAAAUACCUUGUUUAAGCCUGCAGAUAAACCACUCUUGGCAGGAAAGAACGUUAAGCCUGCACUGAAGCAAUUUCGGUUGGAAUAACCCAAAAAGAUAAGAGAAACUAGAAUUUCUCUUUUGAAAAACAUAUAUAAAAAUGACCAGAACACUGAAAAUGCAUGGUUCAUGGUGUUUAUGCAGGCUGUAAACCAAUUGUUUUUGCUCUCUUUACUGCAUCCUCUCUUCUAUUAAUGUGACUAUUCUGAAUUUCUGACACUCUGCCAAUGGUUAAUUCCACGACUGGUCGUCUACUCGGCAUUAAAUUUAACACACUUCAUAUGAUGCCCACGUAGGCAGCAAGCAUAUUAAAAUUUAGACCUGCAAAUUAAUUAAGAGCACCCUUUGGACAGCACCCUUACACCUUUGGAGAGCAACAAUGCUUCAUUUGCACUUAAGAUCUCGGACUAGCGGGGGACUUAUUCCCUUCAUCUGCAUUCUAGGUUCAAAUCUCACCGUGCAUGCUUGUCAUUCUCGCGAUGUCUUAGAUGCUCACUAGGUUUGCAGAAUGUUCAGUAAGCUAUGAGAAAUUAAUCGUGAUGCACGCAAGUUGACCCGAACACCAACGUAAAUAAAUAAAACAAUGCUUCAUGUGACUUCAUCAACCCGUUCCUCUAUCAUCACACGAAAAAUUAUGCAACCACACCGUUAAAAAUUGAAAAGCAUGAUAUUACUGUGCGAGAUUCAUUGAUAGACAAAGCUAAUCACGACGGGUUACAGUGAUUCAAGUCAAUAUAUUUUGAUGUUUUAUAGCUAGCGACUUGUCAUUUCAGAGCUUGUUGCUCUAGCUCCAUAGAUGUUCAAUGAGAGGAGAAAUGAAAAAGAAUUCAACUCCUGAAUUUGAACUGGUAAGGCAAGAAAGUAAAUGAUACAUGUCGCCUCGUACUCUGCUAUACAUGGUUAAAUCAACCUUGCGCGACGAGGGAAUAGGCAUGCAUAAAGGAUUAGCAUUUGCUCUCCCUUCCUGGACAGCCGAUUUUGCAGAACCGUGAUCUGAUACAUGUACUUCCUGUUCUAAACAAUCAAAUAGGAAGUACAAGAAAAUACAUCUAGUUUCCACUGCUUGAAUGGGUAUAAAUUUGCUACCCAACAACAACUACUUGUUUUCGAUCAGAUGCAGCUAAACUGUCACUCAAUUCCCGCCCACUGGUCUCAAAUUGGAAGAGCAGGACACAGAAUACUGAAACAACAAUCACAAACUCGAACAAAAUGAUAGCUUCCUUAAGGUGGCAACCCGUCACUAGUCCAACUGCCACAAGAGGGCAUACCAUGCCACCAAUCCUCCCUACAGCACUUGCAACUCCUGCCCCAGUUGCCCUAAUAGCCGUUGGAUACACCUAGAGAAAAAGGAAAUUACCACAAAUAAAUUAUUUAAAACCAGUUCAAAGGUCAUCUUAAAGGUGCUUGAAGCAAAUCGGAAUGGCAUUAAGCACAAUGGAAAAGUAACCAACUUCCAGGGGUUAUGACUAUGUUAUUGGCUAAUUCUAAUGAAGACAGGGUUACAGCAAAAUCACCUUCCAAAUGCAAUGACAUAUUAUUCCUAUUAAUGGAUUCAAGAUAGAAUAAUGAAGGAUCAAUUCAAAGGAUGCAGCAACUUGACGAUGGACAAGAAACAGACCAAUUUCGUAGAAUUCAAAACAGCAUCUUUUUAAGAGCAGUAGCAAUUCAUUUUGUAUGCUGACUAACUAUGAUGAGAGUUAUUCACUCCCAAAAGACUCCAGAAUCAUUCCCGUAUAUAAAUAAAAUAGAGGAAACAUUUAAGAUUAGCAUGAAAAGAGACAAGGAUGUAUAUUUCUACUAGCCAAUCUUAGCAGAUAAGAGAGCGGAUUACAUUCUUAACCAUAUUCCUAUAUUCGCCAAUUGCCGAUUGAUCAAUCUAUGGUUUUAUUAGCAAGAAAAAUAAGCAACAAGAACAGAGAGAACAAGGGUGGUGAGAAAGGGAUUCCAGAACAAGAGAUGAACAUUUUCAACUUCUGAGACUUGAACUUCAGAAAAAAAAUUAUGUCAAUCAGCGUUCUGCUAUGGUCAGAAUCAACCUCGGGCAUGCAAUGAGUUGGCAGUGUUGAAAUAAUUAAGAUGAAACACAAAAAUAAAACUAGAAUUCUGAAUAAUCUGUAUAUUAGGAGUUCAUAAUCUUAACUUAAAUACAAAUAAAAUAUAUAUAUGUUAAACUGAAAGUACUAUUCUAUUCUUAAUAAAUAAGAUUACAUAAAUAUUAUUUAAGCAGAUAUUUAUCUAAUGUAAGGAAUCAAAAUACAAUUCUUUUCUACAAUGGUGGAAGGGGUAGAAUUCACUGCCCAACGACAACCUGUUUUGAAUCAGAUACAUCUAUGCUGUCGCACAAUUUCUGUCCCUUGGUAUCAACUGGGAUGAACAUGACACAGACUGCUGAAACAGCCAUCAGGACCUCAAACAGGAUGAUGGCUUCUGUAAUCUGGCAGCUAGUCACCACGCCAACUGCCACAAGAGGACAUAUCAUGCCACCAACCUUCCCCGCAGCAUUUGCAGCUCCAGCACCAGUUGCCCUGACGGAUGUCGGAUAUAACUAGAUGGAAACGAUACCAGAAUAAAUCAAUUAUUCAGAAGCAAUUCUCCCUGCCCCUCAGAUGUGUGUGCAGAGGUUUCUAACAAAUGCAUUUUGGAGUCAAAAGUAAAAAGAAAAACGAUCACGGAAGUUAAGACUGAGAUGAUGGGAACAUUUUACCCAGUCAACAUCUUGCUACGGAUAAAAUGCCCUGAACAAAGUAUUAUAGGACUUACCUCGUGACCAUAUAUUGUAGCAACUGAGUAGGCUGCUUUGGUACUCAUUCGGGCUCCAAACAGGAAUGACAUCGUUAAUGUUGCAGACUGAUGGUAAACCAGAGGUAAAAGGAAGAUACCAGCCAAGACAAACGUAACAGCUACCGUAAGCUUGCGGCCAAUUCUAUCUACAAUAGUUGCUGACAAAACAAUCCCAGGAAGCUCUACAAUAGUAUAGAUUUAUAAGAAAACAUGUUAUUAUGCAUUGCUUAAUUUGGUAACUGUACAAGAAAGUUAGACACACGAGAUAUAUAGUAUAUAUCACUUUGCAGAACAAUUCUCAAAAUGUCAAACAUUAAUUGCAUAGAGAUGAAGAGAGUAGGCAUGCAAUACCUGCCAAAUUAGAAAUAAAUACAUUUAUGUAGAGGCUGUCAGGAUUUUCUGAUUUCAAGAGAUUUGAGCCACAUCUGCUUUGCCCACUACUUAGCUCUGAAGUCAGCAAUAUGAUACCAUAAUAUGAGAAUACAUUUCCAAAGAGCAACUCCCAGAGAAGAAGUGUUGUUCGGAUUAGUUUUGAUGAGAAAAGCAUAAGAAAUGAUUGGAAUCCUGAUCUAAAAUCCAAAUCCAUUUUUUCAGUGGUGGAGAGGAGAGGGGUAUAUUCUGAUGUUGCAGACUCUUCAUCCAGCCCAAUUGUACUAUCAGGAACAAGCUCUCCAGGAGGGAGUUGUGAUUGGUUGAGCAGAGCUAUUUUCUCCAGAAUAUUAUAUGCAUCAUUUAUUCUGCCUUUCAUGCAUAGAUACCUUGGAGAUUCUGGUACAUGAGAAUAAAAGAGAAGCAGAGCAAAUGCUGGUAAACAGGAUACCGCGAGUAGCCAUCUCCAACCCAACCUUGGCACCACCAUCUGCAAGAAUUACAGAAAAUACAAUUAAUUACGAAGAAAAGAAUUCCCCGGGUGAUAAGACAUGUGAAGCAUAAAUGACUUUAAUAUCUGAACUCGUCCUCUCUUAUGAGUUUUGUGCAAUUUUAGCAUGCCCCAUGCUGCCCAGCUUGUGCAGACACUGUAAUGUAAUAUUAGCCGAGCAAUGUACCAAAAUAUCAGAUAAUGAUGAGGGAAAAUGGCCUUUAACACUUACUACCAUGAGCGUUUAUGAUAAAAUCAAGUUUUUUUCAGCUAAUUUUUUUGUUCAGAAUUCUGGAAAUGGUACACACCCAUGCAAGUAAAGCCUCAAAAAUUGACCCAAAUGCCCAGAACCAUGAGAGUAGAAGCAUCCUUUUUCCUCUAUGUGAAGCGGGAACAAACUCUAGAAACCAGGAGCUGAAUACACUUCCACCACCCAGCCCGGAGCCAACCAAACAACGAAGAAUCACCAGAGAAGCAUAAUUUGGGGAGAAAGCACUCAACAAUCCAGCUCCACAAGUCAGAAGAGUUGCUCCUAGGAAACCCUUCCUGGAAAGACCAAAUGGAACUAAAACAACUUGUAAGACGAGGUAAAAUAUUUAACAAUGGGUUUGUAAGAGUCCAGUGCAAAGAUUCAAAUCCAAACGGAUGGUUUCAAAGAAAAACAUCGUAUUUGUACAGUAACAUCUUUAGCAGAAUGGAUCAACACUUGAUGGAAACUUGAUCUUUAGCUUUGAUGAUGUAAUGAGAAGGGUAUUUACAGAAUACUUGCCAGUUUGCCUAUUUGGAAAUCAUUAGCCCUUCAUAAACUUUAAAUUGGAAGCGAGCAAGACAGCCAAAAAUAGUAGGAAAACCACCAAAAUAUUGCAAAUCUGUGUAAUUGAAACUUUGAAAGAGCAGAUUUUGUCAACCUAAAACCUUAAAUAGAGAAAGAUCUACCAUAGAAGCAUCAGAAAAGUUUGUGCAAGUUUUUUCCAAAUUCCUGAAGCUAUACAAUAUACAUAAAUAUAUCCAUACAGACAUUAUGAAGGAUUCUUAACUUUACACGUCAAGGAAACAGUGAAGAUUAUUAGCAAGGCACAGCAUAUAAUUAAUGCAAGGAAUAAGGGGGGAAAUGAUGGCUUGCCUCCUUCCAUGGAGAUCUGAAACGAGUCCCCAAAAAAAUGAUCCGAUAAACCUGCCACCAAAAACAGCAGUUGAUAGCAGACUCUCUUGGCUUGAUGAGAGAUCCCACUGGGACUUGACCGCCGGUCCCAUAAAAGAGAGAAUCAUAACUUCCAUUGCGUCUGCGAAUAAAGCAAGUCCAGCAUAAACAAGCACGAGACGUUGGAAUUUCCCAAAUCCCACAGAAGCAAGAGCCUCAUCCACAGUGUAUACAAGGUUUUCCCCGUCCAUCUUUGUGGUGGCCGGUCAACAACAUACCAAAGAAAUCAAAAAAUUGUCACGGCCACAGGGUAACAAACAAACGAAAAAUUAUCAUGUUUUAUACAUAUUCAAUUUCAAGAUUGAUUGUAUGAUCAUCAAGAAAUCUCAGCGCUUACCCUGACGGAGGUCUCAGCUGGCUCAUUCAUGGGCGUAGCAGUCAUAGAUCGAUGUUAUAUAUCACUGCUUUUACGUCAAAAACCAAAUUACUUGUAGUUUCAACUCAAGAAAGAAGAUCAAUAGUGAAGUAUCAAUCAUUGAAAAAAACAAAAGACUGAAUACCUUACAGAAGCGGCCAACUGGAUAUAAGUUUAUGAAGCUUUACUUGUUAGUAAUAAUUGCUUGGGUACACAUGGACACGAAACAAACAGCACGAAACACUAAUACUGCUGCGAUACUUUCUUGGAAGAUGCAUAAAUGGAGCUGAGCUGCGCAUGAGAACAUAUAAUCAAGAAAAUAUGAACUAACCUGAAACUAGGAAAUGAUAGUCUACGGUUGUUACCAUUACAAUUGUCCAGUACCUGGACAGGACAGGAUGACUUUUCGGUUGAAAAGAAGGGAAAAUCGAUAAUUUGUGUGGAGUGAACUGCGGCAAAUGUAGCUGGACAGGACAGGAUUACUCUUUCAGUUGAAAAAAAGAGGAUAUAAGAACAUAUAUAUAUACGGUUGUUACCAUUACAAUUGUCCUGUACCUGGACAGGACAGGAUGACUCUUUCGGCUGAAAAGAAGAGGAUAUAAGAACACACACACACACAUAUAUAUAGUACGAGGUUGGUAAUAUAGAAGUUAUCGAAAUACAUGGCUAAACAUUGAAAAUGAGACAAGCGAAGGCAUGGUUGGUGUGGCCAAAGUAAGAGUAUAGGCAAGAGCAAACAAGUGGAUCUCAUCAUCAGCUAGUUGCUCCACGUACCCAUGAACAGAUCAGUAACAGUUCAUCGAUCCCACAUUGAGAGUUGAGUGUGAGAGUGUUUGCUUGCUAUUAUUUAUUUUUUAAAAUAUUAUUUAUUUAAAAAUAUUAAAAUAAUAUUUUUUUAAAAAAUUAUUUUUAAUAUGAAUAUAUUUUAUCAAAAUAUCUGAAAAUAUAAAAAAAUAAUAUUAUUAAUUUUAAGCAAAAAUAAAAAUAAAAUAAAUUUAUUUUUUAAAAAAAAUAUUUUUAAAACACAAAAACAAAUAGCAUUUUUUGGUAUGUAUAAACAAGAAAAACCCGUUUCGCUCCUCUCAAAUUCUCUGUAUAAAAAUGCGAAAGCUUUGGUGUCUAGUGAUUGAUUUUGUGGGAUGGAGAGGAAAUUGAGUAUCUGAGAAGAAGUAGAACUAGAAGAUGAGUAACAACGUGCAGUUUCUAUAAUUUCCUGGUGUCGACAAGUUUUUGACUUGUCUACUGACACAAUCAAACCUAAGUAGAUUAAGAAUCAAAGAAGACAAGAGUAUAGAGUUAAGAGUUGGCCUUUUCAUCCAAAUUUCUUUGUUUUCAACUUACAUGAGACUUCAUCAACCAGUUCUUUGAUCAUCACAGGAAACAAUAUGCAACAACACCGUUAAAAAUUGAAAUUGAUAGACAAAGCUAAUCACGAUGGCUUACAGUGAUUUAAGUCAAUAUAUUUUGAUGUUUUAUAGCUAGAGACUUGUCAUUUCAGAGCUUGUUGCUCUAGUUCCAUAGAUGUUCAAUGAGAGGAGAAAUGAAAAAGAAUUCAACUCCUGAAUUUGAACUGGUAAGGCAACAAAGUAAAUGAUACAUGUCGCCUCGUACUCUGCUAUACAUAGUUAAAUCAACCUUGCGCGACGAGGGAAUAGGCAUGCAUAUUUAUCUAUGUUAAAGGAUUAGCAUUUGUUCUCCCUUCCUAGACACAGCCGAUUUUGCAGAACCGUGAUCUGAUACAUGGACUUCCUAUUCUAAACAAUCAAAUAGCAAGUACAAGAAAAUACAUCUAGUUUCCACUAUGCUCGAAUGGGUAUAAAUUUGCUACCCAACAACAACUUCUUGUUGUGGAUCAGAUGCAGCUAAACUGUCACUCAAUUCCCGCCCACUGGUCUCAAAUGGGAAGAGCAGGACACAGACUACUGAAAUAACAAUCACAACCUCGAACAAAAUGAUAGCUUCCUUAAGAUGGCAACCCGUCACAAGUGCAACUGCCACAAGAGGGCAUACCAUGCCACCAAUCCUCCCUACAGCACUUGCAACUCCUGCCCCAGUUGCCCUAAUAGCCGUUGGAUACACCUAGAGAAAAAGGAAAUUACCACAAAUAAAUUAUUUAAAACCAGUUCAAAGGUCAACUUAAAGGUGCUUGAAGCAAAUCGGAAUGGCAUUAAGCACAAUGGAAAAGUAACCAACUUCCAUGGGUUAUGACUAUGUUAUUGGCUAAUUCUAAUGAAGACAGGGUUACAACACAAUCACCUUCCAAAUGCAAUGACAUAUUAUUCCUAUUAAUGGAUUCAAGAUAGAAUAAUGAAGGAUCAAUUCAAAGGAUGCAGCAACUUGACGAUGGACAAGAAACGGAUCAAUUUUGUAGAAUUCAAAACAGCAUCUUUUUAAGAGCAGUAGCAAUUCAUUUUGUAUGCUGACUGACCAUGAUGAGAGUUAUUCACUCCCAAAAGACUCCAGAAUCAUUCCCAUAUAUAAAUAAAACAGAGGAAACAUUCAAGAUUAGCAUGAAAAGAGACAAGGAUGUAUAUUUCUACUAGCCAAUCUUAGCAGAUAAGAGAGUGGAUUACAUUCUUAACCAUAUUCCUAUAUUCGCCAAUGGCCGAUUGAUCAAUCUAUGGUUUUAUUAGCAAGAAAAAUAAGCAACAAGAACAGAGAGAACAAGGGUGGUGAGAAAGGGAUUCCAGGAACUUGCAUUUUCUAAUAAAUAAAUAUAUUAUUUUAAUAUAUAUAAAUAAAAAAAACAAUUUAAAAAUCAGAUGGACCGAGCAGGCUCAUAAUUGGGCCUAGGAAAUGCGUUUUUCUUCACCAUGCCCUUGCACGUCACGCGCCCAUUGAAGUCACAAGCCCAAGACUUGGCAGGCGAGGCCCAUUAAGGCCACCAGCUCAAGACCGAUUCGCCAUAAAAUUUAGAAAAUGAGAGGUAAUUUGAUUUGGUUGAGGAGGUGGCCAAAACAUUUUGAGGAGAAGAAACUGAUGGAUUCGAGAAUUGUGAAAUUCAAGUAAAAAAAGAAGAAUAGAGCUGUAGAUUAAAAGAAAGAAAGACCUGUUGAUAAACCAUUUACAGACACAACACAAGGAGUUCAAAAUCAUCCAGCUAGUUACUUGAUAAGAUUCCCUAUUUUUCUCACGUUUGUUUCCUUUUUAUGCUCUUCACAGUUUACUUGUGCAGUUAUAAAAACAAUGGAAAACUAUACAGAACAAUGUGAAAACUAUAGUUAAUCAAAAGUCAUCUUCUGUCUUCCUAUCUCAUCUGAAUGGAAUCUUUAGUAGUUUUUCCAGUAGAUCCUCCUUCCUCUCAAUGAAUUGUAUGUCUAGGUGUGCGCACACAUGUACAAGAUAGAUCAAGAAAGCAUCCAUCAUCUUCUUUCUCGAUGAAUUUUAAUUAUUCCUUCCUUUUCUUUUUUCUAUUUCAAUAUGAACUUGGAAUUAAAAUGGUUAUAUCUCUUUUCCAUUAUCAUAGGAUUUGUAAUCUCGGAUUGUAUGGAUAAGAAAUUGGGAGCUGGAAUGUAGGAAUUAUUUGACCUCGUACUUGUGUGUACAAUCUUCUCCUCUCCCUGUAUCUACUCAAAUGCAUGGGAGCUUUAUGAAAGUGAAGUUUGUUUCCGCUAUUCAUGUUAUUGCUAGAAAUUGUCGAGAAGAAUAUAUUUGUUCCUCUUUAAUGUUCAUAAAUCUCUAAUAAAUUUUGCACAUCAUUUUUUUCCAAACUUAUUUUUAAAUCUAUCACUUAAAUAUUGCAUGGCGAAGUAAAAUGGUUUUUAUACAUGAAGCUGACAGACUUCACGAAGGAUGUUUACAGUUGAUGCUGAUUCUAAAUUUACUUUAUGUAUUCUCUCAUCAAUGAUUACUUGUGUGUCUAUUAUCAGGUGAGGGACGAGAUUGAACAUCUAUUAGAUGACAGUGAAGACAUAGCAGAUUUAUAUUCGCCAAGGAAAUGGAUUCAGAAUCAGCAAUCUGAUUCCUUGGUCGGAGCUGCGGCUUCAGGUAGCAUAAUCCCUGCUAUACCACGUCUCCCUCGAGUUGGCUCUAACCGGAGUGCAAGUAUGGUGGCUGGCAGCGUUUUGGAUGAUGAUGGUGUAGAGGAUUCUAGCCUUUUCUAACCGGGGUGCAUCCUUUUUUGGCUGUGAUUAGUUAUUUUAUCCUUGACUGUAUCGAUUUAGCUUGUUUAAGUUUUUAUAGGCAGUCCUGCCUCCAUAAGAGAAGAAAAUAGUUGUCACGACCCGAAUCCCAGAUCCGUGACCGGCAACGUACGAGCGGUGUCGAAAGGACACCUCACCUACGCUAAGCCUCAGAACGGACAUAUCAAAAGAACAAUUUGUUCAAAAAUACGCAGCGGCUCAUAAUAUUCAGAAAUAUUAUAUUAUUCAAAUACUGAUGAAACCGAAAGAUAGUUAUUAAAACAAAAAUAAUAAUUCAUAAUACUCAUUACAUUGUCAAAAUCCAAAUUUAAUUAAACCAAGGUAACAGUGGAGCGUCUAAGACAUCAAAACAAAACUGAAAGGGAAGCCUCGCGAACAAGCAAGGCAUACCGACCAGAACAGAAGAAGCGGAAACACUCAACAAAGUCUCAGAAACUAAGAACCUGAAAUAAUAUUAAAAAAAUGAGGGUGAGUUCAACCAACUCAGUGAGGGAAUAACAUUUAAUAUACAUUUCAGAUAUUUCAGAUAUUAAUAAUUUGUAAGAUGAUGUAUCUUAAUAUACAUAUACAUAUACUUACUAAACAUAAUAUCAUAACGUAACAUAUUAUCAUAACGUAGUGGAUUACAUGUCAGAGAUCAGAUGACACCCGAAGGUGACCAGAUGACACCCGUCGGUGACCAGAUGACACCCGUCGGUGACCACUGUGGGAUGAUCAAUCACCACAGGCUGAUGCCUCUCUCACCAGCUAGGUAACAGAAUACUAUGUGCACACAUGCUAACUAUUCUCCGUUAGCAUGGAGUUACUGACAAGUCCCGUAUCAAGGCAUAAUAGAUAUUCACAGAAUCAUCAAAGAAACGUAUAUCAUAUCAAAUAGAAUUUACUUUGACAGAUUGCGAGUGCAAAUUCAAGAAUAAAUGAGUACUCGAAAUAUAAAGCAACAUAUAUAAAUAUUCAAGAAAUUUACUAGUUGUACUCAUUGUAUAAUCAACAUACAUAUUUAUUUAUAUUAUAUGCAUAUUAAAGAUUAUUCCACUCACCCGGAAAAUACUGAACUAAAAGGAAUGUCAGACAAAAGACCCGAAAAUCCGAUUAAGGAUCGUUAGGAGAACCUACAAUAAAUAUAUGAAAUAUACUCAAAAACAAUCAAACAAAAGAUCCCAAGCAUAAAAUAAACCGGGCUUAAUCUCCCAAGUUUAGGGACUAAAACGACAAUUUUCCAAAAAGGGACCAAAACGUAAUUUUACCAAAAUUUUGAGGACCGAACUGUAAAUAUAUAACCAUACUGAAAUUUAUCCAUAAUUAAUCCUCAAUUCUGUCCAGGAUAUAUCAUUAUGCUCCAAGGACCAUUCUGGAACUUUACCAAAUGUUUAAGGUCAAAUUAUACUUUUUGUCAAAUUGGAGGACCAAACUGAAAAUAUUAAUUAUACUGGAAUUUUGUCCUUAAAUCAUCCUUAGUUCUGUUCAGAACCUCAAUUUAUGCCCCAGGGACCAAUCUGUAAAAUUUCCAAAGUUCGGGGACUAAACUGCAACUUUCACAAAUUGAGGGACCAAACUGAAUUUUCAUCAUCUUCAACCUCAAACCCAGAAUUUCAACAGAUCACCUACUGUUAUCCCCUGAUUUCUAACAUAAUUUCACCAUUUAAAUAAAAUCAUAACUCAAAAUCAUUAUCUUUCAAUUCAAUCUCUCAAAAUCAACUAAUUAAUCAAAUACACACAAUAAUCAACUCCUAACCUUCAAAUUAAUUCAUCAAUUAACUCAAAAUACAAACUUCAAAACUCUCAAAAUUAAUCAAAACCGAAAUUUAACAUAUUAUACACUUAAAACCAUAAAUCUUACCUUUUUACUUAUUUCCUCUACUUCUUUUCUCCUUUCUUUCCUUCUCUCCUUUCUUUUCUUCUUCUUCCUCUUUUCUUCUCUUCUCCCG
RNAcentral lists this long non-coding RNA (17342 nucleotides) under Populus tremula. RNAcentral describes it as "long non-coding RNA (PTRE_LNC001459)". The record is from RNAcentral. Lineage: Eukaryota; Viridiplantae; Streptophyta; Magnoliopsida; Malpighiales; Salicaceae.